This 883-nucleotide ribosomal RNA is filed under the name Metapseudomonas resinovorans. Its description in RNAcentral is "bacterial SSU rRNA". It matches the Rfam family "Bacterial small subunit ribosomal RNA", at positions 56 to 932 of the family's 1533-position model. Lineage: Bacteria; Pseudomonadati; Pseudomonadota; Gammaproteobacteria; Pseudomonadales; Pseudomonadaceae. The record is from RNAcentral.
UGCAGUCGAGCGGCAGCGGGUCCUUCGGGAUGCCGGCGAGCGGCGGACGGGUGAGUAAUGCCUAGGAAUCUGCCUGGUAGUGGGGGAUAACGUUCGGAAACGGGCGCUAAUACCGCAUACGUCCUACGGGAGAAAGUGGGGGAUCUUCGGACCUCACGCUAUCAGAUGAGCCUAGGUCGGAUUAGCUAGUUGGUGGGGUAAUGGCUCACCAAGGCGACGAUCCGUAACUGGUCUGAGAGGAUGAUCAGUCACACUGGAACUGAGACACGGUCCAGACUCCUACGGGAGGCAGCAGUGGGGAAUAUUGGACAAUGGGCGAAAGCCUGAUCCAGCCAUGCCGCGUGUGUGAAGAAGGUCUUCGGAUUGUAAAGCACUUUAAGUUGGGAGGAAGGGCAGUAAGUUAAUACCUUGCUGUUUUGACGUUACCAACAGAAUAAGCACCGGCUAACUUCGUGCCAGCAGCCGCGGUAAUACGAAGGGUGCAAGCGUUAAUCGGAAUUACUGGGCGUAAAGCGCGCGUAGGUGGUUCAGCAAGUUGGAGGUGAAAUCCCCGGGCUCAACCUGGGAACUGCCUCCAAAACUACUGAGCUAGAGUACGGUAGAGGGUAGUGGAAUUUCCUGUGUAGCGGUGAAAUGCGUAGAUAUAGGAAGGAACACCAGUGGCGAACGCGACUACCUGGACUGAUACUGACACUGAGGUGCGAAAGCGUGGGGAGCAAACAGGAUUAGAUACCCUGGUAGUCCACGCCGUAGACGAUGUCGACUAGCCGUUGGGAUCCUUGAGAUCUUAGUGGCGCAGCUAACGCGAUAAGUCGACCGCCUGGGGGAGUACGGCCGCAAGGUUAAAACUCAAAUGAAGUUGACGGGGGGCCUGCACAAGCGG